Molecule: ribosomal RNA, 422 nt
Filed under: uncultured bacterium
Lineage: Bacteria
Description: bacterial SSU rRNA
Rfam family: Bacterial small subunit ribosomal RNA
Source: RNAcentral
UGAGGAAUAUUGGGCAAUGCCCGCAAGGGUGACCCAGCAACGCCGCGUGGAGGAUGAAUGUCGUAAGAUUGUAAACUCCUGUUAGAGGGGAAGAAUAGUACCGGUUGGACCGGUAUAUGACUGUACCCUCAGAGAAAGCCCCGGCUAACUACGUGCCAGCAGCCGCGGUAAUACGUAGGGGGCAAGCGUUGUCCGGAUUUACUGGGUGUAAAGGGCGCGCAGGCGGGAUAAAAAGUCAGUGGUGAAAUCCUACAGCUUAACUGUAGAACUGCCUUUGAUACCUUUAUUCUUGAGUUCGGGAGAGAGAGACGGAAUUCCAGGUGUAGUGGUGAAAUACGUAGAUAUCUGGAAGAACACCAGUUGCGAAGGCGGUCUCUUGGUCCGACACUGACGCUGAGGCGCGAAAGCGUGGGGAGCAAACA